RNAcentral lists this ribosomal RNA (513 nucleotides) under uncultured bacterium. Its description in RNAcentral is "bacterial SSU rRNA". It matches the Rfam family "Bacterial small subunit ribosomal RNA", at positions 17 to 507 of the family's 1533-position model. The record is from RNAcentral.
UCCUGGCUCAGAAGUCAACGCUGGCGGCGUGCCUAACACAUGCAAGUCGAACGCGAAAGCCCCGAAAGGGGUGAGUAGAGUGGCAAACGGGUGAGUAACACGUGGGUGGACCUGCCUUAGAGUGGGGAGUAACGUCCCGAAAGGGACGCUAAUACCGCAUAACAUCCUGCCUUUGAAGAGGUGGAGAUCAAAGCUGGGGACCGCAAGGCCUGGCGCUCAAAGAGGGGCCCGCGCCUGAUUAGCUAGUUGGUGGGGUAAUGGCUCACCAAGGCAACGAUCAGUAUCCGGCCUGAGAGGGCGGACGGACACACUGGGACUGAGACACGGCCCAGACUCCUACGGGAGGCAGCAGUGGGGAAUUGUUCGCAAUGGGCGCAAGCCUGACGACGCAACGCCGCGUGGAGGAUGAAGACCUUCGGGUCGUAAACUCCUUUCGAUCGAGACGAACAGCCAUCGGAUAAACAAUCCGGAGGUCUGACGGUACCGAGAGAAGAAGCCCCGGCUAACUCCGCG